Molecule: ribosomal RNA, 377 nt
Filed under: uncultured bacterium
Lineage: Bacteria
Description: bacterial SSU rRNA
Rfam family: Bacterial small subunit ribosomal RNA
Source: RNAcentral
AUACGUAGGGGGCGAGCGUUGUCCGGAAUUACUGGGCGUAAAGGGUGCGUAGGCGGCCCUUUAAGUCGGAUGUGAAAGCCCGCGGCUUAACCGCGGAAUGGCAUUCGAAACUGGAGGGCUUGAGUGUCGGAGAGGGUAGUGGAAUUCCCAGUGUAGCGGUGAAAUGCGUAGAUAUUGGGAGGAACACCAGUGGCGAAGGCGACUACCUGGACGAUAACUGACGCUGAGGCACGAAAGCUAGGGGAGCAAACAGGAUUAGAUACCCUGGUAGUCCUAGCCGUAAACGAUGGGUACUAGGUGUGGGUGGUUUCGAUACCAUCCGUGCCGUAGUUAACACAAUAAGUACCCCGCCUGGGGAGUACGGCCGCAAGGUUGAA